UUAAAAUUUUAGAUUAAAUCAUGUUAAAAAUGUGGAAAGAAUUUUUCAUUUAUCUACUUUCAUGUUUAUGUCUUAGCUCUGUGUCUUUGAAGAAUUUUCCAAGUUAAUGUACUCCAAUGAUAUUUGCCUUUAGCAGGUAAAUUUAGUUAUUUUUAAUAUAGUAUAAGGAAAGUAAAAAGAUAAAUAGAGACAAGAUGCAGCAGAAAGGUGGUUGCUCAUCCAAGCAGCUGCAUUUAUUUAUACCAAUAGGUUACAUUAGGUCAUUACUGCCACAACUACAUUAUAGUUUAUGGUAUGAGUAAAGUGGCUUAUUCUGCAGUUACAUUCUACAGUUACAAUAUGCAAUGUUAGGAGCUUUGUGCAGCUCUCAAGAAAGUCCAUUGUCUGAAGUUACUGUUAGGUGGGCAGAUCCAGGAUCAGCAAAGCUUAGAGAAACAUUGUGGUUAUCUAGCAAGCAAGUUCCUUUAUUCACAGGAGCUAUGUGCCUGAGAUCAAGGUCAAGGCUGAUAAGACUAUAGAACAGAGCAGGGCAUUGCCAUUACAGCUAGAUGGUUCACAUGUAUUAGUUAUCUUACUAGUUCCUAGUAAAAACUGCAGGACAUUCUAAGGGUAGUAAAAUGGUGUUUGUUACUCCCCAGGAGUUUGCUCACCAGAGGAAUGUUCCUCUAUAAUAUUUCCAUGGUCAGAAUCCCUACAAUAUAGAAAUGGACAGAAUGGGAUGCAAUUGUCCACUAAAAACCCCUGCUCUGUUUCAUAUAUUUCAUGUCCACCUUGAUAAUAUACAUUAGGUGUAAUUUUUUAUUGUUACAAAUGAUUUUUAAAUUACCAAUAAACCAUCAAAGCAGCUUUAUGUACAAAUCAUUCAUAAAUUACUAAGUAAAAUUUUAUAAAGUAUAUACACUUUUGCCUUCAGCUUCUUCUACAUCAAAAUACAAUCUUGUCCAUCUCAAAGAUUCCUCUUUGUGCCUCUACCAUAAUGAUAUUCAACAGGGACCAGUAUGUGACAUUAAAUACCAUAGAUCAUUUUCAUUUUUUGUACUUUCUAUAAAUGAAAAUGAUCAGAUUCAACUCUUUUAUAUUUGACUUAGAAAAUUGUAUUUUCAUUGUACUUUGUAUUUUCACAUUUUGUUGGUAAUAGAAUUCAACUGCAGAAAUAUUAUUUACUUCAUGCCUUCCUCUCUGGACACAUAAGUGAAUUCCUCCCCCCCCAAAAAAAAAAAAAGAAACUUCCAUGUGCUGGAAGAUUUGCAAGGUUUUGGAGGAGGUGGAAACUUUGACGUGUGGAUGCAAGUACAAGGUGGUUGGGUCAUUGGGAGGUCAUGCUUAAAGGGAUAAAUGGUAAUGUCUGGAGUAUAUCAGUUCCCAUGAAAUUGGGCUGUCUUACAGAGAGUUCUGGUGUCUCUGCUGUCUCACUCCCUGUCCUGUCCUGUGGUCUAUUGUGUAUGUGCUCCCAUGAUUGUGAUUUCACCUACUCUUAGUUCCUCAAAGAGUUGAGCAGAUGCUGGCAUCAUACUCUUGAAUCUCCCGAACUGUAGGUCACUAAAUUUCUUUGUCAAGUACUCAGUCUGGGGUAUUUGGUUAUUGCAACAGAAAAAGAUAACAUGACAUGGUCAUUUUUUAGUUUGAAGUAUCAUGAUGAGGACUCACCUGUAGUUUCACAGUGUGUUUUUAAUGAUAAUUGUAAGAGUUUCUGCUGCUAUGUGUGUAAAGGUGAUUGAUUCAUUGAUUAUAGGUUUACAUCUCCUUGGCUUUAGAAUAUACUGACUGAGUUUAUCAAAUGUCUGUAUGAGUUUCAACCAAGUAGAAGCUCUUAUUUUAAUAGAAAUACUUUUAUAUGUCUUUAUUUAAUGUUAAUAACAUAGGUUCUGUUAAACAUAGAUGCAUAUACUAAGACAUAUAUGCAUAGGGAGGUGGUUCCCUUCAUUUUCUUCAAGGACAUCAAUUAAUAACUUAAAAAUUUACAUCAGAAAACCAUUCAGAAUCAGCUUUUUAUAUGUGUUGGUAGUUAUUUAAGUCUUUUUAAAAAGUAAACAAUAAAUUUCAAUGUUUUCUGAAAAUGUACAGUAGAUACUUUUUCUCUCAUUUAUCAUCAUAUAUUCUAUAUUUUAAAACAUCUGGGAAAAUAUUUUGAGAAGUUUUGCCCUAAGACAUGGUAGCUAUUUGAGAGACAAGUAUGCCUAACCUGAUUUGAAGAUUGCUAAUGUGCACAUUGUAUUCAAAUAUCUUGUGAUACCCUAUGAAUAUGUACAAUUUUUAGUAUCAUUUAAUAAUAAAUACCUUUGGCUGGCCAGAGUGGUGCAUGCCUAUAAUCCCAGUGGCUUGGGAGGCUGAGCUAGAAGGAUGAAAGUUUAAGACUAGUCUCAGAAAAUAAGUGAAGCACUAAGAAACUUAGCUAGAGCCUGUCUACAAAUAAAAAGGCCUGCAGAUGUGGAUCAGUAGUGAACAGCUCCUGGGUCAAUCCUUGCUACCAGUAAUAACAAUAGUAAAUUAAUCAAUUAAAACUUUCCUUUUGUUUCAUAGUGUCAUUGGCUCACAUACUUACUGUCUUCAAUUCCAGCAGUAAUGUAAAAAGAACCUCUCAUACCUUAUAUCUCUGACUGUGUCCUCUGCUGCAUCUCUGUAUUCUGCUUUGAGGGCCCAUGUAAAUAGAGUAGGACAAUCAGAUACCAGUGUGUACACCAGUGUAUAAGAGAAAAAUAUCUCCCCCUCUAUGAUCUGCCAAUCAGCAGUCUUAGCAUCAUCUUUAAACCCCAGUUAACCCAAUGUAACCUCAGGAGUGAUGGCAAGAGCAUUCUCCAAGUCGUCUUGGAACAACCCUGUUCACAGUCCCACGUUAUCCCUUGUAGUUCUCAGGACAACUGCAAAAUAUACUGAGAAGGUAACACCAUAAGCUAGGAAGAAACUAAGUGGAACAACAUAAUUUCUAUUCCAGUUUUCCUAGAAUCAGUAUGUCCUUUAAUGAUUUAGAGAGUGUUGUGGUUCUAGGGCACAAAACCCAAGGUGGACAUCUUCCUGGGGUCCUUAAGCUUUAGUGUAAGUGGACCAUAUUUGGAUGAAACUGAAUCCUCUGUGUGGAGCCUUCAUGACUGCCAGGGACAAGCUUGGAAUGAAUCCAAAGCUUCUGCAUGCCCUUGCUCCCUGUCCAGCUGUGGAUCAAGCACAGGGCCAGGCACAAGUAUGGCAAGCCUUUCACCGCUGAGCCACACUUGGAGUGAAUCUGAUCUCUAGUCCUGAUUAGUUGUCUGUUUAUGAAAGGUCAUCUAAUGCCACAUUUUUUUUUUUUUAUUUUUAGUGUGUCUAUUUCUUAUGGUUGAAAUAAAACUUUGUCACAUCCUAGUGGCAUUUUGUGGUGGUGA
Long non-coding RNA from Marmota monax (woodchuck), 3356 nucleotides. RefSeq lists it as uncharacterized. Lineage: Eukaryota; Metazoa; Chordata; Mammalia; Rodentia; Sciuridae. The record is from RefSeq and is a predicted model, not a curated record. The transcript has 2 exons.